Molecule: ribosomal RNA, 1140 nt
Filed under: Triticum aestivum (bread wheat)
Lineage: Eukaryota; Viridiplantae; Streptophyta; Magnoliopsida; Poales; Poaceae
Description: partial small subunit ribosomal RNA
Source: RNAcentral
AUGAAGGAGGGAAUUGGAUGGAAGAGGUGCAACACACAAACCCCGAAGUCCUACAGAGAGUUCAAUAUUGGCACGGGGGGAAAUGUGAAUAUUUGGACUGACCCGUGGAUCCCUUCGAGUCAGGAUAGGAAAAUCAUAUCACACCGAGGCCAAACCAUUCUUUCUUCCGUGAGUGACCUCAUCGAUCCAACGACAGAAACAUGGGACGAAGAAUUGGUCCGAAUAAUCUUUAAUCCAGUGGAUGUCAGGAGAAUACUCCAAAUCCCUCUGAAUGUCAGAGCUUUUGAGGAUUUCAUUGCGUGGAACCCAGACGACACAUCGGCUCGGAUGCGGCAUGCCCGGGAACUCUGGAACAACCUUGGCAUUUCAGAAAUUGUGGAUGAGGCCAAGCAAAUUGAUAGAUCGGGCUCUGUUAUUAUGGAGCAUCUAUUAAUAGUACCGGACAAGAUCCUGCCAAUUAAGCCAAACUUGAAUAUCAAACAGGUGUUGCUGGUUGGCGCAUGGUAUCUGUGGUGGAUCAGGAGAGAACUUACUCAUAAUGGUAAACCACCACCCUCUAUGAGAUGGCAUAUGUCAGUUCUAGCUAUUGCAAGUAACUUCCAUGAGGCGAACAACAAACAGAAGUGUAUAGGUGAUCAGAGAUGGUGCAAACCUGAAUCAGCAUUUGUGAAGUUGAAUGUGGACGCCGCUUGCUUAGUUGAAGAAGGUGUGGGAGCUACCGCAACAAUUAUCAGGGAUGACAAAGGACAAUUCCUAGCAGGCCAAUGUGAGUAUAUCAUCCACGUACCAGAUGCAGAAAUAGCUGAAGCAACAACAAUGAGGGAUGGUCUUCUUUUUGACAAUUCUUUGGGAUUUCCGAGGGUAGAAGCUGAAUUGGAUUGUCUCAGUGUCAUAAAAUUUUGUCAGGGUCAGUCAAGAUGGUGGAAUGCAACAGCACCGAUAUAUGCAGAGUGUCUGGAUCUGACGUCUUCGAUUGGGAAGGUCGUUUUUAAACACUAUUUACGUUCAAGCAAUCAAGCGGCGCAUGUGCUAGCUAACUUUUGUUAUUGUAACAAGAUCUCUACUACUUGGACGGAGGAGCCCCCGAGCUGCCUCGUCUCUAGUCUCGUGGACGAUGUAUUUCCUUCGUUGAAUCAAUAA